Molecule: ribosomal RNA, 253 nt
Filed under: uncultured bacterium
Lineage: Bacteria
Description: partial 16S ribosomal RNA
Rfam family: Bacterial small subunit ribosomal RNA
Source: RNAcentral
UACGGAGGGUGCAAGCGUUGUCCGGAUUUAUUGGGUUUAAAGGGUGCGUAGGCGGCGUAGUAAGUCCGUGGUGAAAGCCAACAGCUCAACUGUUGAACUGCCAUGGAUACUGCUAGGCUUGAGUACAGACGAGGUAGGCGGAAUGGAUAGUGUAGCGGUGAAAUGCAUAGAUACUAUCCAGAACACCGAUUGCGAAGGCAGCUUACUAGACUGUAACUGACGCUGAGGCACGAAAGCGUGGGGAGCGAACGGG